AACGUAGGAGGCGAGCGAUAUCCGGAUUUACUGGGCGUAAAGCGCGUGCAGGCGGCGGUGCAAGUUGGGCGUGAAAUCUCCUGGCUUAACUGGGAGGGGUCGUCCAAUACUGCAUGGCUUGAGGGCAGGAGAGGGAAGUGGAAUUUCCGGUGUAGCGGUAAUAUGCGCAGAUAUCGGAAGGAACACCAGUGGCGAAGGCGGCUUCCUGGCCUGUACCUGACGCUGAGACGCGAAAGCUAGGGGAGCGAACGGG
This 253-nucleotide ribosomal RNA is filed under the name uncultured bacterium. Its description in RNAcentral is "partial 16S ribosomal RNA". It matches the Rfam family "Bacterial small subunit ribosomal RNA", at positions 524 to 776 of the family's 1533-position model. The record is from RNAcentral.